This is a small nuclear RNA of Salvia splendens (bonfire salvia), 119 nucleotides long. RefSeq annotates it as U5 spliceosomal RNA. The record is from RefSeq and is a predicted model, not a curated record. The transcript has a single exon. Lineage: Eukaryota; Viridiplantae; Streptophyta; Magnoliopsida; Lamiales; Lamiaceae.
AGCUGCGCUUUGAGCACAUAGCGAACUAUUCUUUCGCCUUUUACUAAAGAAUACCGUGUGCUUGUCGCUAUUUAAGCAGCAUACUCAUCUUUUUGGAGGGUUUUUUCAAGAUAAAACCC